UGGGGAAUAUUGGACAAUGGGGGCAACCCUGAUCCAGCAAUGCCGCGUGUGUGAAGAAGGCCUUCGGGUUGUAAAGCACUUUAGGCUGUGAAGAAGAUGUGUAGUUUAAGAGAUGAUACAUUUGACGGUAGCAGCAGAAUAAGCACCGGCUAACUCUGUGCCAGCAGCCGCGGUAAUACAGAGGGUGCAAGCGUUAAUCGGAUUGACUGGGCGUAAAGGGCGCGUAGGCGGUUAUAUAAGAUAGAUGUGAAAUCCCUGGGCUUAACCUAGGAACGGCAUCUAAGACUGUAUAACUGGAGUAUUGUAGAGGGUAGUGGAAUUUCCGGUGUAGCGGUGAAAUGCGUAGAGAUCGGAAGGAACACCAAUGGCGAAGGCAGCUUGCUGGGACGGUACUGACGCUGAGACGCGAAAGCGUGGGGAGCAAACAG
This 428-nucleotide ribosomal RNA is filed under the name uncultured bacterium. RNAcentral's name for it is "bacterial SSU rRNA". It matches the Rfam family "Bacterial small subunit ribosomal RNA", at positions 355 to 775 of the family's 1533-position model. The record is from RNAcentral.